Molecule: long non-coding RNA, 650 nt
Filed under: Anser brachyrhynchus (Pink-footed goose)
Lineage: Eukaryota; Metazoa; Chordata; Aves; Anseriformes; Anatidae
Description: lncRNA (ENSABRG00000016438.1)
Source: RNAcentral
GACAUUGUUAGGGACACGGGGACAUCAUUGGGGACAUCAUUAGGGACAUGGGGACGUUGUUUGAGGGCAUGGGGACGUGGUUGGGGACGUGGGGACAUCAUUAGGGACAUGGGGACACCAUUAAGGGACAGGGGGACAUCGUUGGGGACAUCAUUAGGGACAUGGGGACACCAUUAAGGGACAGGGGGACAUUGCUGGGGACAUGGGGACAUCGUUAGGGACACGGGGACAUCGUUGGGGACAUGGGGACAUCGUUAGGGUCGGGGGACAUUGUUGGGGACAUCAUUAGGGACAUGGGGACAUCCUUAGGGACACGGACACAGGGCACGGGGACGUCGGGGGGGGCGUGGGGACAUCGGCACGGGGACGUCACCCCUGGGGCGGGGACAGCCCGGGGGGGCCACCAGGGAGGUGACACCGACGGCGGCCUCGGCGUCACCCUGGGGCCCCGAUGUCCCCAACACCCCCAGUGUCCCCAACAAUCCCAGUGUCCCCAGUGUCCCCAGCACCCCCGGUGUCCCCAACACCCACGAAGUCACCAAACGUCCCCAUUGUCCCCGACAUCCCAAAUGUCCCCAGUAUCCUCCAUGUCCCCAGUGUCCCCGUUCCCCCUGGUGUCCCCACUGUCCCCAUUGCGCCCGCUGUCCCCA